UGGGGAAUAUUGGACAAUGGGCGCAAGCCUGAUCCAGCCAUGCCGCGUGUGUGAAGAAGGCCUUUUGGUUGUAAAGCACUUUAAGCGAGGAGGAGGCUACUUGGAUUAAUACUCUAGGAUAGUGGACGUUACUCGCAGAAUAAGCACCGGCUAACUCUGUGCCAGCAGCCGCGGUAAUACAGAGGGUGCGAGCGUUAAUCGGAUUUACUGGGCGUAAAGCGUGCGUAGGCGGCUUUUUAAGUCGGAUGUGAAAUCCCUGAGCUUAACUUAGGAAUUGCAUUCGAUACUGGGAAGCUAGAGUAUGGGAGAGGAUGGUAGAAUUCCAGGUGUGGCGGUGAAAUGCGUAGAGAUCUGGAAGAAUACCGAUGGCGAAGGCAGCCAUCUGGCCUAAUACUGACGCUGAGGUACGAAAGCAUGGGGAGCAAACAGG
This 430-nucleotide ribosomal RNA is filed under the name Acidobacteriota bacterium. Its description in RNAcentral is "Acidobacteria bacterium partial 16S ribosomal RNA". It matches the Rfam family "Bacterial small subunit ribosomal RNA", at positions 355 to 776 of the family's 1533-position model. Lineage: Bacteria; Pseudomonadati; Acidobacteriota. The record is from RNAcentral.